RNAcentral lists this unclassified non-coding RNA (175 nucleotides) under uncultured Clavariaceae. Its description in RNAcentral is "sequence contains ITS1". The record is from RNAcentral. Lineage: Eukaryota; Fungi; Basidiomycota; Agaricomycetes; Agaricales; Clavariaceae.
UUGAAUCCUCAGGAUGUUGCUGGCCUUUCGGGGCAUGUGCACUCCGCCUUUCAAUACACCUGUGAACUUAUUGUAGGUGCAGAUUUUAACAAGUCUGUUGCCUAUGUUUUUAACACACUCUUAAAAAGUCUAUUGAAUGUCUAAUUGUGGCCUUUGAUGGUCAACAAACUUAAUA